Chiloscyllium plagiosum (whitespotted bambooshark) is the source of this 705-nucleotide non-coding RNA. The record is from RefSeq and is a predicted model, not a curated record. Lineage: Eukaryota; Metazoa; Chordata; Chondrichthyes; Orectolobiformes; Hemiscylliidae.
GAACUGGGAUGAGGUAGGGGAAGGGGAAAUGAGGAAACUGGUGAAUUCCACAUGGAUGCCCUGGGGUUGAAAUGUCAAUAGGAGUGCCUCAAAAAGAAGCACUGGCAAAUCAUUUGAUGUCACAGCAAAGCUUGAUUUUCUCUUCCCCAGCAGACAAUCAUGUAUUUUCAACAGGAAAUUUUGGGCACUGAGAUGACUCUAAAUGGGAACCCGAGGUGUUUUUCUCCCUCGGAGUGCUGAGUUUGGGCUACAUCUCUUGGGUGAUGAGCAUAAAAACCAAGGACCAAGCCACUUCAUUUAAAAUCCUGAAGAUUCAACAGAGGUAGCAAUAGUCAAUCAAGAAGUUAGAAGAAGCCAUCUUAACAUGCAAGACAAUUAAAAGCAAGUUCUAUUGGUGACUGUUCUUCGGAUCCUAAUGUACUAGAAAGAGAAGACUGAGACACGGUGGGAAUCAAUUAGUCUUUACAGUCAAAUAACGGAUCUAAACUGAAAAGCUAACGUUAUUUCUGCUUAAUAGAGCCUACUGUCUAUUUCCAGAAGCAGGUACCAUUUUCUUUGAUUUUUUAAAUGUUCCAAAAAUCGGUCAAAGGGAAAUCCUGCAUAUGGAAUUGCUCCUAUCACUAUACCAGAGAUCUCUCCAUAAAACCUCCAGAAAUAGAUAUUUUAUAGAUCCUGCAAUGCAGUGUUAUAUGAUGGUUACUGUAU